GUGGUUUAAUUCGAUGCAACGCGAAGAACCUUACCUACUCUUGACAUCCAGAGAACUUAGCAGAGAUGCUUUGGUGCCUUCGGGAACUCUGAGACAGGUGCUGCAUGGCUGUCGUCAGCUCGUGUUGUGAAAUGUUGGGUUAAGUCCCGCAACGAGCGCAACCCUUAUCCUUUGUUGCCACCGGUUCGGCCGGGAACUCAAAGGAGACUGCCAGUGAUAAACUGGAGGAAGGUGGGGAUGACGUCAAGUCAUCAUGGCCCUUACGAGUAGGGCUACACACGUGCUACAAUGGCGUAUACAAAGAGAAGCGACCUCGCGAGAGCAAGCGGACCUCAUAAAGUACGUCGUAGUCCGGAUUGGAGUCUGCAACUCGACUCCAUGAAGUCGGAAUCGCUAGUAAUCGUAGAUCAGAAUGCUACGGUGAAUACGUUCCCGGGCCUUGUACACACCGCCCGUCACACCAU
RNAcentral lists this ribosomal RNA (464 nucleotides) under Enterobacter sp. RNAcentral describes it as "bacterial SSU rRNA". It matches the Rfam family "Bacterial small subunit ribosomal RNA", at positions 941 to 1405 of the family's 1533-position model. The record is from RNAcentral. Lineage: Bacteria; Pseudomonadati; Pseudomonadota; Gammaproteobacteria; Enterobacterales; Enterobacteriaceae.